GCUCGGAUGAACGCUGGCGGCAUGCCUAACACAUGCAAGUCGAACGGCAGCGCGGGCUUCGGCCUGGCGGCGAGUGGCGGACGGGUGAGUAAUACUUGGGAAUCUGCCCAGUAGUGGGGGACAACACGGGGAAACUCGUGCUAAUACCGCAUACGUCCUACGGGAGAAAGCGGGGGAUCUUCGGACCUCGCGCUAUUGGAUGAGCCCAAGUCGGAUUAGCUAGUUGGUAGGGUAACGGCCUACCAAGGCAACGAUCCGUAGCUGGUCUGAGAGGACGAUCAGCCACACCGGAACUGAGACACGGUCCGGACUCCUACGGGAGGCAGCAGUGGGGAAUAUUGGACAAUGGGGGAAACCCUGAUCCAGCAAUGCCGCGUGUGUGAAGAAGGCCUGCGGGUUGUAAAGCACUUUCAGCAGGGAAGAACAGCACGGAGCUAAUAUCUCCGUGUCUUGACGUCACCUGAAGAAGAAGCACCGGCUAACUCCGUGCCAGCAGCCGCGGUAAUACGGAGGGUGCAAGCGUUAAUCGGAAUUACUGGGCGUAAAGCGCACGUAGGCGGCUUUGUAAGUCGGAUGUGAAAGCCCCGGGCUUAACCUGGGAACUGCAUCCGAAACUGCAUGGCUAGAGUAAGGCAGAGGAAGUGGAAUUUCCGGUGUAGCGGUGAAAUGCGUAGAUAUCGGAAGGAACACCAGUGGCGAAGGCGACUUCUGGGCCAUUACUGACGCU
RNAcentral lists this ribosomal RNA (727 nucleotides) under uncultured Gammaproteobacteria bacterium. RNAcentral's name for it is "bacterial SSU rRNA". It matches the Rfam family "Bacterial small subunit ribosomal RNA", at positions 22 to 747 of the family's 1533-position model. Lineage: Bacteria; Pseudomonadati; Pseudomonadota; Gammaproteobacteria. The record is from RNAcentral.